AGCCCGUUCUCUUUGAGGUCGGGCAUUGGAAUGGAUGGAAUCUAAACAGUUCCAUGAGUAUCAACGAGAGGGCAAGUCUGGUGCCAGCAGCCGCGGUAAUUCCAGCUCUCGUAAUGUAUAGAAUUAUUGUUGCGGUUAAAAAGUUCGUAGUUGGAUUUUCUACCGUUCGGCGGUUGGGUUUAACGACUCAGACUGUCGGCGGUUUUUGCGCUAUGACUGGCUUGCUAGUCUUAGUGCGGAUUACUUUGAACGGCUUAAGUGCUCAAGGCGAGUCUUCGGACUGAAUACCGGUGCAUGGAAUAAUGAACAAGGUCACGGCCGAGUUUUAUUGGUUUUGUCGGCUGAGACAAUGGUUAACAGGAACAGCUGGGGGCACUCGUAUCGCUGCGCGAGAGGUGAAAUUCGAGGACCGCAGCGAGACGCCCUAAAGCGAAGGCAUUUGCCAAGAGUGUUUUCAUUAAUCAAGAACGAAAGUCAGAGGUUCGAAGGCGAUUAGAUACCGCCCUAGUUCUGACCGUAAACGAUGCCAACUAUCAAUCCGCCAGUGGCUUUUAGUCAUUGGCGGGCGGAUCGACGGAAACGAAAGUUUUUCGGUUCCGGGGGAAGUAUGGUUGCAAAGCUGAAACUUAAAGGAAUUGACGGAAGGGCACCACCAGGAGUGGAGCUUGCGGCUUAAUUUGACCCAACACGGGAAACCUCACCCGGCCAGUACAUCAUAAGGAUUGACAGAUUGAAAGCUCUUUCAUGAUUUGAUGAAUGGUGGUGCAUGGCCGUUCUUAGUUCGUGGCGUGAGUCGUCUGCUUAAUUGCGAUAACGAGCGAGACUCCGACUGCUAAAUACUGUCUGGAUAAUUUCGUCCUUCACAGUUCUUAGCUGGAUUCGAGACUCCAAGUCUCAAGAAAUGGAGCAAUAACAGGUCUGUGAUGCCCUUAGAUGUUCGGGGCCGCACGCGUGCUACAAUGAUGGUAACAGCGUGAUUGUCCUCGCUCGACAGAGCUUGGCAAACAGUUGAGAUAUUAUUAUGGCUGGAAUUGAGUGUUGAAAUUUUCUCUCAUGAACGAGGAAUUCCAAGUAAAUGCGCGUCAUCAACGUGCAUUGAUUACGUCCCUGCCCUUUGUACACACCGCCCGUCGCUACCCGGGACUGAGUUGUUUCGAGAAAUCUACGGACCGAUUGUGCGUUGGCAACAACUCAC
Molecule: ribosomal RNA, 1195 nt
Filed under: metagenome
Description: SSU rRNA
Rfam family: Eukaryotic small subunit ribosomal RNA
Source: RNAcentral